AUGGGAACGCGAAGAACCUUACCUAGACUUGACAUCUCCUGAAUUACUCGUAACUGAGGAAAUCCCUUCGGGGACAGGAAGACAGGUGGUGCAUGGUUGUCGUCAGCUCGUGUCGUGAGGUGUUGGGUUAAGUCCCGCAACGAGCGCAACCCUUAUCAUUAGUUGCUAACAUUUAGUUGAGCACUCUAGUGAGACUGCCUGGGUUAACCAGGAGGAAGGUGGGGAUGACGUCAAAUCAUCACGCCCCUUAUGUCUAGGGCCACACACGUGCUACAAUGGUGGGGACAAAGAGAUGCGAAACCGCAAGGUUGAGCCAAACUCAAAACCCCAUCCCAGUUCGGAUUGUAGGCUGAAACUCGCCUACAUGAAGCCGGAGUUGCUAGUAAUCGCGAAUCAGAAUGUCGCGGUGAAUACGUUCCCGGGUCUUGUACACACCG
Molecule: ribosomal RNA, 437 nt
Filed under: uncultured bacterium
Lineage: Bacteria
Description: bacterial SSU rRNA
Rfam family: Bacterial small subunit ribosomal RNA
Source: RNAcentral